This is a long non-coding RNA of Meriones unguiculatus (Mongolian gerbil), 923 nucleotides long. RefSeq lists it as uncharacterized. Lineage: Eukaryota; Metazoa; Chordata; Mammalia; Rodentia; Muridae. The transcript is spliced from 5 exons. The record is from RefSeq and is a predicted model, not a curated record.
GGUUAGUCAGUUAGUUUAGCAUUAGUGUCGCCCUCUCCUAGUGAGAAAGAACACAGCCUUACCUUCUGUUGUGAAAUCCAAACAACCAGGAAAAGAGGAAGCAGGUUUGGAAUUUCAAACCUGACCUAACCUUGCACAACUGAACUUAAUGAGCUGUGGAAACUGUACUGAACUGACAGAUAGGGUUUUUCUGUGUAGCCCUAGCUGACCUGGAACUCCCUCUGCCUCAAGAGUGCUGGGAUUAAAGGCAUGUGCCACCACUACCUGGGUAAUUUAUUCUUACACCUUGUGCUGCCUAGUUUUAUGUCAACUUGACACAAGCCAGAGUUGUUUGAAAGGAGGGAACUCCAAUUGAGGAUAUGCCUUCGUACAAUCGAGCUAUCAGGCAUUUUCUUAGUUAGUGACGGCACGAGGAGCCAGCCAGUGAGCAGCACCCCUCCGCAGCCUCUGCAUUGGCUCCUGCUUUCAGGUUCCUGCCCUGCUUGAGUUCCAGCUCUUUCUUCCCUCCGUGGGACUUGUUACCUCAAAGUGUUAAAAUAAAACAUGAACAUCAGUACAAAGUCCCAAUUUAUUUCUAAUAUCAGAGAUCAGAGCUCUACUCUUGCCUGAUGCGUCUAAAACAAAAAGGGGGAACUGUAGAGAGCUGCGGAAUGCUAUGCCUUAAAGAUGGAGCUGGUUUCCGCCUUCCACCUUCCCGAUGGUCCCUAGAUGGCACAGUGGCACACACCUGUAACCCCAGCACUCCGGGAGGCAGAGGAAGGUGAAUCUCUCUGAGUUUAAGGCCAGCCUGGUCUACAAAGCAAGUCUGGGACAGCCAAGGAUACACAGAGAAACUCUGUCUUAAAAAACCAAAAUAAAUAAACAAACAAAUACAUAAUAAUAAAAAUUUAAAAAACAAAAAUAAAGUAGAAUAAAAGUAAAAA